RNAcentral lists this ribosomal RNA (207 nucleotides) under uncultured bacterium. RNAcentral's name for it is "partial 16S ribosomal RNA". It matches the Rfam family "Bacterial small subunit ribosomal RNA", at positions 568 to 774 of the family's 1533-position model. The record is from RNAcentral.
CGCGUAGGCGGUUUGAUCAGUCGGAUGUGAAAGCCCCGGGCUCAACCUGGGAACUGCAUUCGAUACUGUCAAACUAGAGUGUGGUAGAGGGAAGUGGAAUUCCAGGUGUAGCGGUGAAAUGCGUAGAUAUCUGGUGGAACAUCAGUGGCGAAGGCGACUUCCUGGACCAACACUGACGCUGAGGUGCGAAAGCGUGGGGAGCAAACA